Molecule: unclassified non-coding RNA, 492 nt
Filed under: Hevea brasiliensis (rubber tree)
Lineage: Eukaryota; Viridiplantae; Streptophyta; Magnoliopsida; Malpighiales; Euphorbiaceae
Source: RNAcentral
GGCAAAAUUGGGCUAAUCAUUGGGGGCAAAACUGCCUAAUAUGGUGGCCUGCAACAUAAUCUUCUCAAACGGACUCUUUCCUCAGUGUUGUCAUGAUCAUAUCGAAUCAAAAAAAGGCACCUGCAGCCUCUUAUGUCAUGCAUUCUCCUUUGAAUAUCUAUAACAUGAGCAUCAUAAUAUAUGGCUUGAUCUCUCCUUUCCUGGAAGCAGCAUACAAGAUCUCCAACUUGCACCUUAUGACAUUCUGAAUGCUCAAGCGGCACGGAGCGUUCUCGCACUGCAUUUUUUACGUUGACCCAUUCAUCCUCCUCAGCUCCAAAUCCAACAAAUCUAACGUGAACUUCAGCUUCACCAGAUGGAAGGAAUCUGUGACAAAGGAACAUAUCAACAUCCGUACCAUGCCCCAUCUUUUGAUGAUCUAGCUUCAAAUUCCAACUCAGAUAGAUCUGGGACUCUCUCUCCUUUACGCAUUUGAGAACUUUCUUUUGCCUC